RNAcentral lists this ribosomal RNA (784 nucleotides) under uncultured bacterium. RNAcentral's name for it is "bacterial SSU rRNA". It matches the Rfam family "Bacterial small subunit ribosomal RNA", at positions 8 to 796 of the family's 1533-position model. The record is from RNAcentral.
AGAGUUUGAUCCUGGCUCAGGACGAACGCUGGCGGCGUGCUUAACACAUGCAAGUCGAACGGAAAGGCCCUGCUUGCAGGGUGCUCGAGUGGCGAACGGGUGAGUAACACGUGGGUGAUCUGCCCUGCACUUCGGGAUAAGCUUGGGAAACUGGGUCUAAUACCGGAUAGGCCACAUGCUGCAUGGUGUGUGGUGGAAAGUUUUUAACGGUGUGGGAUGGGCCCGCGCCUAUCAGCUUGUUGGUGGGGUGAUGGCCUCCAAGGCGACGACGGGUAGCCGGCCUGAGAGGGUGUCCGGCCACACUGGGACUGAGAUACGGCCCAGACUCCUACGGGAGGCAGCAGUGGGGAAUAUUGCACAAUGGGCGCAAGCCUGAUGCAGCGACGCCGCGUGGGGGAUGACGGCCUUCGGGUUGUAACCUCUUUCACCAUCGACGAAGGCCUGCUUUUGGGUGGGUUGACGGUAGGUGGAGAAGAAGCACCGGCCAACUACGUGCCAGCAGCCGCGGUAAUACGUAGGGUGCGAGCGUUGUCCGGAAUUACUGGGCGUAAAGAGCUCGUAGGUGGUUUGUCGCGUUGUUCGUGAAAUUCCCUGGCUUAACUGGGGGCGUGCGGGCGAUACGGGCAGACUGGAGUACUGCGGGGGAGACUGGAAUUCCUGGUGUAGCGGUGGAAUGCGCAGAUAUCAGGAGGAACACCGGUGGCGAAGGCGGGUCUCUGGGCAGUAACUGACGCUGAGGAGCGAAAGCGUGGGGAGCGAACAGGAUUAGAUACCCUAGUAGUCC